Molecule: ribosomal RNA, 365 nt
Filed under: uncultured eukaryote
Lineage: Eukaryota
Description: partial 18S ribosomal RNA
Rfam family: Eukaryotic small subunit ribosomal RNA
Source: RNAcentral
CAAUAGCGUAUAUUUAAGUUGUUGCAGUUAAAAAGCUCGUAGUCGGAUUUUGGCUGAGAACGAUCGGUCCGCCGUUAGGUGUGCACUGAUUGGUCUCAGCUUCCUGGUGAGGAGGUGUGCUUCACGGCCACUUAGUAACCGUGGUUACUUUGAAAAAAUUAGAGUGUUCAAAGCGGGCUUACGCUUGAAUAUAUUAGCAUGGAAUAACACCAUAGGACUCCUGUCCUAUUUCGUUGGUCUCGGGACGGGAGUAAUGAUUAAGAGGAACAGUUGGGGGCAUUCGUAUUUCAUUGUCAGAGGUGAAAUUCUUGGAUUUAUGAAAGACGAACUUCUGCGAAAGCAUUUGCCAAGGAUGUUUUCAUUGA